UAUAUAGAGUAUGAGCAUUUAGUUACAUUCAUGUUUUUGGAGAUGAGGAGAAACGACAGAUAUACAUUUUACCUUUAAAGUAUAUUGCAAAUACGUAAGUGGAAAACAUUCAUGAAAAUAUAAAUGGAGCGGACGACUGGGCUAUAUUCGCAAUAGUUGUGAUAAGGGAUAUCAGGCUUGGACUAUUCCCUAGAGGAGCAGUGAUCAGUCAAGGAAUCCCCUUGUUGGGCCAC
Molecule: long non-coding RNA, 233 nt
Organism: Oncorhynchus masou masou (cherry salmon)
Lineage: Eukaryota; Metazoa; Chordata; Actinopteri; Salmoniformes; Salmonidae
Exons: 2
Source: RefSeq, a predicted model, not a curated record